UCUUUGUUUCGUCUCCCCACCACAAUCACCACCAGCAGAAACAAUAGAUCUACGAACACCAACAACUUUAUUCUCCCCCGACACACUACUGCACCUCCGUAUCUCACCACUAUCACCACCCUCCUCCGCCUCCUUCAAUUCCUUCACCGCCAACACCAUUUCCACCACCGUAAACAUCACCACCCCCAACUCCUCUCCACGUCACUGCAACCAUAAUCAAAACCCUAACCAUAGUUUCAUUUUAAAAAUCAGAAGGAAACACAGGUGGAUCUGGUGAUGUUUUGAUGAUUCUGUAAGAUCGGAUGAAGAAAUUGUUGAAAUUAGGGUUGUGACUGUAAUUGCAAUUGAAGAACAAGAAGAACAGAGAUGGCUUGGUGACGAGUUGAUGAUUGAGAUCAAUUUUGUAAGGAAAGGAUGAUGAAGUGGCGAUGUUCCUAACAAGGGUCUGAGGAAUUGGAUCCAACAAUUUUCUUCAAUUUCAUGCCUAAAUUUACUUGCUUUUGCCUUCUUCCAUUUUCACCAUCACCCUCCUUCUUCACCACCACUAAAACACAAGCAACACUGUUAUAGACAACUGAAAAUUGAUUUUAAAGGAACAAGAUGAAUCUUCAUAGACACUGGCUUGGCUGAUUAUCGGGGUGAUGAGUUAAGAAGAUGUAUACCAAGUACGAGAUUGAGGUAAAUGGGUCGUGGAGUCAAUUAUGGAGGAGAUCAGAUGUCUUUAGGAUCUCUCUUUGCUAGUCCUGAGGAAUCAAAACUAUAUGUACCUGUUGCACUUGUUGCUGCUUCAACCGCCAAUGUUGCUGCUGCUCAUACCCCCUAGUUCAGGUGAAAAAAAAUAUACCUACAGCUAACAAGUCUUCCUCCUCUCCCCUAGUGUAUAAAGAUAAGCUGGGUCCAUCAGGAGUAGUGCAAGGUUCUCUAUCCAAUAACUAUUAUCGCGCUAAUGGCCAAAAACAAUGGCAAAUUCAUCCCUGUGAGUUUUUAAUUAAGAUCUGCACAGUUCCAUCCAUCUUAUCUCAUUCUUAGACUAUGACUGAUAUAUCUGCAAAACAACACAUCUGUAUAUUUGUAAUUUUGUGUUUAUUUUGAAUGGAUUGUUUAGAUUUUUUGUGGUUACAA
Molecule: long non-coding RNA, 1122 nt
Organism: Papaver somniferum (opium poppy)
Lineage: Eukaryota; Viridiplantae; Streptophyta; Magnoliopsida; Ranunculales; Papaveraceae
Exons: 4
Source: RefSeq, a predicted model, not a curated record